Molecule: ribosomal RNA, 408 nt
Filed under: uncultured bacterium
Lineage: Bacteria
Description: partial 16S ribosomal RNA
Rfam family: Bacterial small subunit ribosomal RNA
Source: RNAcentral
GACGAACGCUGGCGGCGUGCUUAACACAUGCAAGUCGAACGGAGUGGCGAACGGGUGAGUAACACGUGGGUGACCUGCCCUGCACUUCGGGAUAAGCCUGGGAAACUGGGUCUAAUACCGGAUAGUGUGGGAUGGGCCCGCGGCCUAUCAGCUUGUUGGUGGGGUAAUGGCCUACCAAGGCGGCGACGGGUAGCCGGCCUGAGAGGGUGGACGGCCACCAUGGGACUGAGACACCGGCCCGACUGCUACGGGAGGCAGCAGUGGGGAGUAGUGCACACUGGGCGGAGGGCUGAUGCAGCGACGCCGCGUGGGGGAUGACGGCCUUCGGGUUGUAAACUCCUUUCACCAUCGACGCGGUAGAUGGAGAAGAAGCACCGGCUAACUACGUGCCAGCAGCCGCGGUAAUAC